Molecule: ribosomal RNA, 429 nt
Filed under: Bacillota bacterium
Lineage: Bacteria; Bacillati; Bacillota
Description: Firmicutes bacterium partial 16S ribosomal RNA
Rfam family: Bacterial small subunit ribosomal RNA
Source: RNAcentral
UGGGGAAUUUUGGACAAUGGGGGCAACCCUGAUCCAGCAAUGCCGCGUGUGUGAAGAAGGCCUUCGGGUUGUAAAGCACUUUUGUCCGGGAAGAAAUCGCACCUGAUAAUACCGGGUGUGGAUGACGGUACCGGAAGAAUAAGGACCGGCUAACUACGUGCCAGCAGCCGCGGUAAUACGUAGGGUCCAAGCGUUAAUCGGAAUUACUGGGCGUAAAGCGUGCGCAGGCGGUUGUGCAAGACCGAUGUGAAAUCCCCGGGCUUAACCUGGGAAUUGCAUUGGUGACUGCACGGCUAGAGUGUGUCGGAGGGGGGUAGAAUUCCACGUGUAGCAGUGAAAUGCGUAGAGAUGUGGAGGAAUACCGAUGGCGAAGGCAGCCCCCUGGGAUAACACUGAGGCUCAUGCACGAAAGCGUGGGGAGCAAACAGG